Molecule: ribosomal RNA, 282 nt
Filed under: uncultured bacterium
Lineage: Bacteria
Description: partial 16S ribosomal RNA
Rfam family: Bacterial small subunit ribosomal RNA
Source: RNAcentral
GGCCUACGGGAGGCAGCAGUGAGGAAUAUUGGUCAAUGGUCGGGAGACUGAACCAGCCAAGCCGCGUGAGGGAUGAAGGUACAAAGUAUCGUAAACCUCUUUUGUCAGGGAACAAAGGCGGGGACGCGUCCCCGGAUGAGUGUACCUGAAGAAAAAGCAUCGGCUAACUCCGUGCCAGCAGCCGCGGUAAUACGGCGGAUGCGAGCGUUAUCCGGAUUUAUUGGGUUUAAAGGGUGCGUAGGCGGAUUUUUAUGUCAGCGGUAAAAUGUCCGGGCUUAACCC